UCAAGAAACUUCCACAAUGGGCGAAAGCCUGAUGGAGCGACGUCGCGUGAAGGAUGAAGUAUUUCGGUAUGUAAACUUCGAAAGAAUAGGAAGAAUAAAUGACGGUACUAUUUAUAAGGUCCGGCUAACUACGUGCCAGCAGCCGCGGUAAUACGUAGGGACCAAGCGUUGUUCGGAUUUACUGGGCGUAAAGGGCGCGUAGGCGGCAAUUCAAGUCAUCUGUGAAAUCUCCGGGCUUAACUCGGAACGGUCAGAUGAUACUGCUUUGCUAGAGUGCAGAAGGGGCAAUCGGAAUUCUUGGUGUAGCGGUGAAAUGCGUAGAUAUCAAGAGGAACACCUGAGGUGAAGACGGGUUGCUGGGCUGACACUGACGCUGAGGCGCGAAAGCCAGGGGAGCAAACGGGAUUAGAUACCCCCGUAGUCCCUGAGCGGGCUGGCAAGGCGCAU
RNAcentral lists this ribosomal RNA (447 nucleotides) under uncultured bacterium. RNAcentral's name for it is "bacterial SSU rRNA". It matches the Rfam family "Bacterial small subunit ribosomal RNA", at positions 355 to 825 of the family's 1533-position model. The record is from RNAcentral.